Epulopiscium sp. Nele67-Bin004 is the source of this 30-nucleotide non-coding RNA. Lineage: Bacteria; Bacillati; Bacillota; Clostridia; Lachnospirales; Lachnospiraceae. The record is from Rfam.
AUUUCAAUACAUCUUAUGUUACGGUUCAUC